Molecule: ribosomal RNA, 1525 nt
Filed under: Desulfosporosinus sp.
Lineage: Bacteria; Bacillati; Bacillota; Clostridia; Eubacteriales; Desulfitobacteriaceae
Description: bacterial SSU rRNA
Rfam family: Bacterial small subunit ribosomal RNA
Source: RNAcentral
ACAACGAAGAGUUUGAUCCUGGCUCAGGAUGAACGCUAGCGACAGGCCUAACACAUGCAAGUCGAGGGGUAACAGGGAAGCUUGCUUUCGCUGACGACCGGCGCACGGGUGAGUAACGCGUAUGCAACCUAGCCGUAAGAGGGGGAUAGCCUCUCGAAAGAGAGAUUAACACCGCAUAAUAUUAUUAGAAGGCAUCUUUUAAUAAUUAAAUAUUAAUAGCUUACGGAUGGGCAUGCGUCUGAUUAGUUAGUUGGGGAGGUAACGGCUCACCAAGACAACGAUCAGUAGGGGUUCUGAGAGGAAGGUCCCCCACACUGGUACUGAGACACGGACCAGACUCCUACGGGAGGCAGCAGUGAGGAAUAUUGGUCAAUGGGCGCAAGCCUGAACCAGCCAAGUCGCGUGCAGGAAGACUGCCCUAUGGGUUGUAAACUGCUUUUAUAAGGGAAUAAAAAACACCAUGUAUGGUGUCUUGUAGGUACCUUACGAAUAAGGAUCGGCUAACUCCGUGCCAGCAGCCGCGGUAAUACGGAGGAUCCAAGCGUUAUCCGGAUUUAUUGGGUUUAAAGGGUGCGUAGGCGGAACAAUAAGUCAGUGGUGAAAGUUUGCAGCUCAACUGUAAAAUUGCCAUUGAAACUGCUGUUCUUGAGUACAAAUGAGGUAGGCGGAAUGUGUUGUGUAGCGGUGAAAUGCAUAGAUAUAACACAGAACACCAAUUGCGAAGGCAGCUUACUGGGAUGUAACUGACGCUGAGGCACGAAAGCGUGGGGAUCGAACAGGAUUAGAUACCCUGGUAGUCCACGCAGUAAACGAUGAAUACUAGCUGUAUGCGAUACACAGUAUGCGGCACAGCGAAAGCGUUAAGUAUUCCACCUGGGGAGUACGACCGCAAGGUUGAAACUCAAAGGAAUUGACGGGGGCCCGCACAAGCGGAGGAACAUGUGGUUUAAUUCGAUGAUACGCGAGGAACCUUACCCGGGCUUGAAAUGCAGAGUAAUAAUUUGGAAACAGAUUAGUCAGCAAUGAACUCUGUGUAGGUGCUGCAUGGUUGUCGUCAGCUCGUGCCGUGAGGUGUCGGCUUAAGUGCCAUAACGAGCGCAACCCUUAUCAUUAGUUACUAACAGGUUAAGCUGAGGACUCUAAUGAGACUGCCACCGUAAGGUGUGAGGAAGGUGGGGAUGACGUCAAAUCAGCACGGCCCUUACGUCCGGGGCGACACACGUGUUACAAUGGAUGGUACAGAGGGUCGCUACCUGGCAACAGGAUGCAAAUCUCAUAAAGCCAUUCUCAGUUCGGAUUGGAGUCUGCAACUCGACUCCAUGAAGCUGGAUUCGCUAGUAAUCGCGCAUCAGCCAUGGCGCGGUGAAUACGUUCCCGGGCCUUGUACACACCGCCCGUCAAACCAUGGGAGUUUGGGGUACCUAAAGUCCGUAACCGCAAGGGACGGCCUAGGGUAAAUCAGAUGACUGGGGUUAAGUCGUAACAAGGUAGCCGUACCGGAAGGUGUGGCUGGAACACCUCCUUU